Molecule: ribosomal RNA, 450 nt
Filed under: uncultured bacterium
Lineage: Bacteria
Description: partial 16S ribosomal RNA
Rfam family: Bacterial small subunit ribosomal RNA
Source: RNAcentral
AACGAACGCUGGCGGCAGGCUUAACACAUGCAAGUCGAACGCAUCCUUCGGGGUGAGUGGCAGACGGGUGGGUAACGCGUGGGAACGUGCCCUUCAGUUCGGGAUAACCCAGGGAAACUUGGGCUAAUACCGGAUACGUGCGAGAGCAGAAAGAUUUAUCGCUGAAGGAUCGGCCCGCGUCUGAUUGAGCUAGUUGGUGGGGUAAUGGCCCACCAAGGCGACGCUCAGUAGCUGGUCUGAGAGGAUGAUCAGCCACAUUGGGACUGAGACACGUCCCAAGCUCCUAGGGAAGGCGGCAGUGCGUAAUAUUCGACCAUGGGGCCAUGCUCGAUCAGGCCAUGCCGCGUGAGUGAUGAAGGCCUGAGGGUUGGAAAGCUCUGCCGUCCGGCGCGAUAAUGACGGUAGGGGAAGAAGAAGCCCCGGCUAUCUGCGUGGAAGCCGCCGCAGUAA